GGCACUUUGGCCGAGUGGUCUAAGGCGCCGUGUUCAGGUGUUGCUGUCCAACAGCUCUCCAGCUUCGCGGUCUAGAAAUAGGCGAGGGUUCGAAUCCCUCAGGUGUCA
Non-coding RNA from Trichoderma gamsii, 108 nucleotides. NCBI's taxonomy places the organism in Eukaryota, Fungi, Ascomycota, Sordariomycetes, Hypocreales, Hypocreaceae. The record is from Rfam.